CCUACGUGUGGCUGCAGUGGGGGCUCUUGCACAAUGGGGGGAACCCUGAUGCAGCGACGCCGCGUGGGUGAAGGAGCGUUUCGGCGCGUACAGCCCUAUCGGCAGGGAAGAAGGAGGACGGUACCUGACUAAGAAGCCCCGGCUAACUACGUGCCAGUAGCCGCGGUAAUACGUAGGGGGCAAGCGUUAUCCGGAUUUACUGGGUGUAAAGGGGGCGCAGACGGCAGCGCAAGCCAGGAGUGGAAGCCCGGGGCCCAACCCCGGGACUGCUCUUGGAACUGCGCGGCUGGAGUGCAGGAGGGGCAGGCGGAAUUCCGGGGGUAGCGGUGAAAUGCGUAGAGAUUAGGAGGAACACCAGUGGCGAAGGCGGCCUGCUGGGCUUUUACUGACGCUGAGGCUCGAAAGUGUGGGGAGCAAACAGGAGUAGAUACCCCUGUAGUC
This 441-nucleotide ribosomal RNA is filed under the name uncultured bacterium. RNAcentral's name for it is "partial 16S ribosomal RNA". It matches the Rfam family "Bacterial small subunit ribosomal RNA", at positions 338 to 795 of the family's 1533-position model. The record is from RNAcentral.